AGAUUUUGCAAUACCCUUUCCUGAAGCACGCCAUUGACAGCCUGCAGUAUGGCCUCCUGCAAAACAGAAGCGCAAAGAACCUUCGGUGACGGAAAUUGCUGAGCCUGAGCUUUGUUGCAGGAACAGAGCGACAAAUACUGAACCUGACCUUGUUCCUGAGCAUGUCAAUCUCCCUGGAGAUGAUCUGCAUCUGUUCAACAUAUGAGGGUCUGGAGCUCGACAAGAUUCAUGUGGUUUAUAUCAUUCUCUCCAUGCAUGUACCUGCAUGGAUGUGCUGAGAUCUGUCAUGAGCCCUGCAAUCGAUUCUAUAAUUUGUGAUUUGUGGAUUCUUGGUAGUUCAACAUGACCAUCAGCUGUACUGGUAAGUUGUUGAACAUAAAUAUAGCUACGAAGCUGCAUCCUCUCCAAAGUUUAUGAAGCUGGAUGGCGGUUUUGUACACGUUUUAGAAAAUAAAAGAAAUAGGAAAGUAAUGGAAGGAACAUCUUUAUUUCAAAAAAAGGACCAUCUUUAGCUACUCACAAAUUCUUCUGAAUUCACAACAGCUCUCCUGGCUACAUCUGUGAAGAGAUGUCAUGCAACUUGUGUUA
Zea mays is the source of this 588-nucleotide long non-coding RNA. RefSeq lists it as uncharacterized. The transcript is spliced from 2 exons. The record is from RefSeq and is a predicted model, not a curated record. Lineage: Eukaryota; Viridiplantae; Streptophyta; Magnoliopsida; Poales; Poaceae.